Molecule: long non-coding RNA, 2215 nt
Organism: Astatotilapia calliptera (eastern happy)
Lineage: Eukaryota; Metazoa; Chordata; Actinopteri; Cichliformes; Cichlidae
Source: Ensembl
AAGAAGAAGAUGUAGAUGAAAAGAGAAUAGAGCAAGACAGACAGAUAACAGGAGGAAAUGCAGAAGGAGUCAAAGUGGAGAAGCUGAGAGAGCAUCACGCUGAAAAUGAAAAGGAGGUAAACAAAGAAAAGGAAGAACAAGUUUAUGUAAAAGAAGAAGAAACAGAAGAAUGGGUUGAGGAGCCAGGAAAGAGGCCUGAUCAGUCUGAUCCCCCAAAACUGUCCCUCUGUCACCUCUGCAGGACCCACAAUCUGCUGAAACUCUGCAUCACGGCACAGAAAACAAAGCUCCCAGAGUCCUCACAGACGGAGAGAAAGGGGCUGUCGCUGCCAAAACCCACAGCAGGGACAUUUAUCCCACAUCGCCGAGCAGUGACAAGGAGGCUUUUCUGAGCAGCACAGACGCUUCACACCAAACUGCUGCUGCACACAGUGUGACAGACACAAACGUUCCCUGUGCUGACGCUCAUCUGAAUCUAAGUGAACAAACAGAGACGUCGCAGCGUAGUUUACAGGAGCAAGAGCGGCAUCCAGGUGAAAGAGCUGGAGUAGAAGAAGCAGACAACUCCGGAAAUACUCCACCUGUAUUGCACACAGACCUACAGACAUCGCUUUGCAGACCAGAGGACAAAGUGACACUGAUGGAAGCUCCUGCUCAGUCCUCGAUGGAAGAUGAACAAGAGAGCAAAAUCUCCUCUGGCACAGUAAAACAUCCAAUGAAAACCGUAAGGUCUCCUGUGAUGAAUGGUGAGGCUGAUGCUGCAGAUGACAAGAAGAAAGAUGGCCAACAAUCAUCGAAGUACAAAACAGUGUCCUACAGAAAGAUCCCCAGAGGAAACACCAGGCAGAGGAUUGAUGAGUUUGAGUCCAUGUUUAACUCGUGAAUGAGCGUUAAACAUAAUAUAUAGUAACAUACUGAUAUAUAAUAUAUGUAGAGGAUUUGCUGAAAUUAACCAAGUCGUUUUUUUCUGAUUCAGCUCUUGCAAAUUAUGACCCCUACUGGUAAUGUUUUGAGAAAACCAGAAGACCCAGAGCAGAGCUUUUCUAAAAUAUGUACAUGAUUUUAUAUGACUGUAUUUGUACCUGUGGCUUGUUUGGGAUGCUGAGGUGGCAGUUUUUGUUUUGUUUUUUCCAUCUUCAUAGGCAGUCCAUCCCCUCCCCAAUUCCCUAACCUGACUUCGUUAACCCUAUCCCAGAAACCCAGCUCAAUAAAACUCAGAUCUUUAGUUAGCAUCUGAGCAAAUAAAACCUUAAGGGAAGUUCUGUCUAAUUGCUGCCAUUGCUCCACUUGACAGUUAAGGAUCCCAAAAAUGAAAGACUGCUUUUGAUCCUUUGUUGGUCCCAUACUUAAAACAAAUGAAAUUUCCCACUGAAUUGAAUUCACCCAGUUUUGUUUUGUUUUUUAGAAAUACAGUGUGUCAUGCAAACUCCUGAAGUUUCAUUCAUUUAAUAUUUUAACAUUGUAGAGGAUUCUAGAUUCUUCUCUAGGAACAAUUAUCAAGUUAAAGGAAUAUGUUUUUCUCUUUUUCUUUUUCAAUUGUGUAGUGUUAUCCUGAAUAGGUGGCAGAAUUUUGAGUAUUAAAAAAGAAAGGCUGAAGAUAUAAAGAUAAAUGUGUGCAACACAGCUAUAUAGAUGAUUUCUUUCUUAGCCAGUCUUUGACUGACAUGUAACCCCUCAAUGAUGUUUACUCAGGCCAUGAUCUCUCCUGAGAAAUGUUGCCUGAGUGACUGACUAGAGAACAGCAACCUAUAAAAUACAUCUUAUUCACCUCAUUAUUUUUUCUAGUUUAACAACACAAACAUUUUUACUGUUGAAAUGUCAAAGCAUUCAGAGCUUGUACAUACAGAAAAAUAAUAGCUGAGAGAAUAAAAGGAUAUGAUUUUUUUUUUACGUUAGUUAAACCUACCUGACACUUAGAACUGUAUAUGCAUAGGGUCUUUAAAAAAAACCUCUCUUAUUGACAAACUGUUUUAAUGUAAAUUUCAUGGUAUGUUUAUCACAAUUGUAUGAUAUCUAUUCGUUAAUUUAAUGUAUUCAAGAAAAAGCAUCAUGCAAAAUAUAUGUUCUUGCAUUUUGUAAUUUGUGUUGGCAUCAACUACCUUUACAUAAAACAACAUAUAUGUCUGCAGUGGUACAAACAACAGAGGAUUAUCUGUUUUUGAGGUUUUUGUUGAAUAUUUUGACAAUAAAGUGAACCUAUUGCUGAAUCUUUGUG